GCUCUGCUCACUAAAAUAAAGAGCUGCAGUAUACUAGCUGUACUAAGGUAGCAUAAUAAAUUGUCUUUUAAUUUAAGCCUUGAAUGAAAGAGUCGACGUAAAGCAUUCUGUACCUUUAACCUUUAAAAAUUAAUUUUAGGUUAAAAUUCCUAAGUAGCUUUUAAAGACGAUAAGACCCUAUAAAAUUUUAUCCUGUAAUUAAAGUUUAGGUAUUUAGAUAUAAGGAUUUGACUGGGACGGUAGAAAUAAUUAGCCUGUUUCCGUUUAAACACAUUAAGUGGGCUCAAAGACCCCCCAAGACUUGAGAUCAAAUUACUUUAGGGAUAACAGCGUAAUCCCCCCUUAAGCUCCUAUUGACCGGGGGGUUUGCGACCUCGAUGUUGAAUUAAGAGAAUCCUACAGGUGCAAUAGCUUGAGGGGAAGAUCUGUUCGAUCUUUUUAUUCUU
RNAcentral lists this ribosomal RNA (446 nucleotides) under Leucon intermedius. RNAcentral's name for it is "partial 16S ribosomal RNA". It matches the Rfam family "Archaeal large subunit ribosomal RNA", at positions 1946 to 2666 of the family's 2987-position model. Lineage: Eukaryota; Metazoa; Arthropoda; Malacostraca; Cumacea; Leuconidae. The record is from RNAcentral.